GGCGGCGGCGGCGGCAGCCGGAGCGAGCAGUAGCCGAGCUGGUUUGCAUCCAAGAGAGGGGAGGACAGGGGCAAAAGGAUGCAGGGAGGCUGCUGAUUUCCACUGAAGAGCUAAUUUCCUGUGAGACAUUAACAGUGAUUUAAGAAAAAGAUUCCUGUAACUGUAAUGUCUUACAAUAACAGAAUGCAGGAGAGCACAUAUCAAUGAAGAAAAGACAAAAUGUACUUAUCCAUGAAGCUGAGGUUAAGAAACCAGUGUCUUCAAGAGCCAGGGACAGCACUGGGUCUGUGCAGAGUUGAGAGAUGGUGAUGACAUGUGGUUUCCAGCAUUCCUCACCCAGUCCAGGGACACUGUGGGUGUGCCCAGCUUAAGUCCAGUAACUGGAAAUACAAGCCCAAGUUCUGGAGAGUUUGAGCUGCAGAGAUAUAUAUGGGAACACUUUGAAUCUUGACUCAUUGGCCAUAACCAGCAGAGUGGAAAAUACAAGAAGAGAAAAAAACAUUGAACUGCGAUUUUAUAACAUCCUUUACUAGGCAGAGAGAAGAGGAAACACCAGGAAAGAAAACUGUAUUACGAUGUGAAAACUUAAUGUUGAGAAAUUCAGGCAUCUUGGGGUUAGUGAGGAGAAGUUUUAGGGGCUUAGAUUCUUCUAAACACAUGUACAGAAAUGCAUAUUUCAUCUGAUAUCAAAUGGCAUUUAUAGUGCUAAUCUUUACCUCAAGACUUCACAUCUUUUGGUGAUUGCAUCUUUUAGGUUUAUAGCAGCUAAGUUUGCAUGAAAACACCAGGGCUGUUUCAUUUCAGUCAAGAAUUAAUGUUCAUUGAUUGUGCUUCUGCAUUUCAUGUAACUAUUGUAGAAUUUGUUUUAGUUUUAUGAGGGAAUAAUUGUUCCAACUUCUAUAUAACUCAGGAAUUUACUCUCAAACAACACUGUCAAUUAGUUACUUAUCUCUCUGGAAAUGAUCUGGGAACAUGGAGAGGAAAGGGAGGAAGGGGCAAAAUCUGACCACUUAAAUCUAAGCAUAUUAGAUCAUUUUAUGCUAGAAAGUCCUGAAUGAUGUGACUUUCGUUCUUGUAAAACACCUCUUUCCAUAGAUUCAUGGCCCAAACAGUAUAUAAAGAGUGGGGAAGGAACUGCAUUUGCAAAUAGUUCAAAUCAUUGCUCCAUCUUAACUACGCAGUUCACAAAGUGUGAAGAAAUGUGAUCAUCUCAAAAAAGAUAAUGGGGAAAAAAUAUGUUUUGUUCUGUGACUUUAAAGUCUUGCAAUAUUUUACAUAAAUGAUAAUGGGUGCUUUAAUAAGAACUCUUGAUACUUUUGUUAUUGUAUUCAAUAUAUGCAUAUAAUACAACAGGAUGAUAUUGUUUUGGAUUUGGAAAUGUAUUCUUUCUUAUGCAAUCUUAUGCAGUCAUACUGCUUGAAUAUCAUUACCUGAAUUUAUCUUUCUUUUUUUUGUUGUUGUUUUACACUCUACUUAUUUGGUGCCUGUCAGUCUUUUGUCGUCAGUUUAUAUUCUACUAAACUCAAAAAGACAAUCUCAUACCUUUUGUAAUUGUAGGCAUUCUUUACUAGAUUUUUAAAUACACUUCAAAAAUUCAAGUACUUUGAUUUCAUGCCAUCAAGUAGCUGAAUCUAUCCCCCCGUCUCUUUUUAAAUUUAAGUGAGUAGUUCAAUUUCUGUCACUUUCUACUUUGUGAAUUCUAAAUCUUUUAAAACCAUCUUGCCAUUUUUCGUGCACUUACCCUUACAGAAAACUCUGUGAAACACUACUUAUCUCUACUUUUAUGUUUUUAACUCCUUUUUUAUAUUACUAUUCCCUCUGCUUUCUAAAUGCACAUAUUAAUUUGUUCUUUUUAUUCUCUGUAGCUCUUCUCAGUGUAUGAAUUCAGUUUCCCAUCAGUCUCCAUACAAUUAAAAAAAAGUUGAGUAUUCUGUUAUUUUAAUAAGAUAUCUAGUGCCCAUAUUCUAAUUCUGCCCCUUAUUUUUAAUAUAAUUUUAUUGUUGAUUUAAAAUGACAACAGUUUCAAUUCCCAGAAAGUGAAAGGAAACAAAGGAAUAAUAUUAUAGGCUUAAUUUUUAUCAGUGAACUUGUAGGUGAAGAAAAGAUUUGGGGAAGGAAAUGAACAUAUUAUAUUGCAAAAUAGUAAGGAACAAUCAGAUGUGUUUUCUAGUCUCUGGAAAAGCAUGUUUCAAGAAAUUCAAUGAAAAGUUCAUCAUGCUUGCUUAGAUUGUUGAGAAGCAAAAACACUGAUGAACAUUUGGAAGCAAUGAGAAUGUAAUUCUAAUCAUACUCUUUUAAUAAUGUUGCAAAACUCUCCAAACACUACUCUGUGUGGAUGUCUUUCAGAAUAUGAUGAAUACUAGUAGUCUUAUUCUGCCCUUUUCUCUCUAUCACAAUAUAUACAUUCUAUAUUGCAUACACAUAUUUUCCAAAUAUUACAUAUAAUUUCAUGUAAUUUAUAGACCUAUUAAGGCCCAACCAUUUUCUUGGAUAGGGGAUUCUUUAGAAGUCCAGCUUAAAUAAAGCCCGUAUAGAAAGUUUUUUUAAAAUUUAUACAUAAUCACCUAAAGUAACCUUAUCUACUGAACUCUUAGUACAUGCUACUGGAACCUUUUAUCAUGUUUCUUCCUGGCUUGCAUUACAACACUGUUGACAUAUCUCAGCCUUACUUCUAGGCUUCUUUGAGAGCAUGACUCAUGUUUGUAUUCCUCACUGAGGUUGAAUGAAUAAGAGAAACUACAGUAGUAGGAAAAAACAGUACAUGUACAUAUCAAUGAAUAUGAAAGGGUCAAAUGGAUCUAUUAUAGUAAGCACAAAAUCAACUGACACCAGCAAAGUAAACCCAAAAUUUUUAAUGGUAUUUUAAUAGAUCAAGAGGAGCAAGCAGAUUUUUGAGACAGUUGUCUCCUACUUUCUCUAUCACAGGGAGUAAUUUUAAAAGAAAAAUGGAGGGUAAGUUUCUUUAAGAGAAAAUUGUAGUUUAAAACAGGUCAUGGGAUAAUUAGAAAUAAUUUAAUUUCUUUAGAGGAUUUUAAUCUUUCAACUGCUUGCAAUUAGAUCCUAAGGCAAUAAAAGAAUAAGGAGAUUUGGAAAACCAUUGUCUGUAAUCUCUGAAGAAAAGUGGACAUUAGGGGAGUCAGUUGAAAAGCAAAGCUAUCACCAUUUUCUAAAGAGGAAAAAGGUGAACCUCACAAACUAUAGACCAAAAAAAUAGGACAUCGAGAGAAAGAAUAUGAAGCUAGCAUAGGUUCACAAAGAAUGAGUCAAAUCAAACAACAUGCAUUUUUUAUUUAUAAAGCAUGACUUGUUCAUUGUCAAUUCAUGUUAGCUUAAUCAUUAGGCAUUAAUGCCAUCACUGCAAUGCAUAUGUCAGCAAUAAAUAAUCAAAGACCAGGCUUCCAUCAUUCUGUUUAAUAUCUUCAAGUAAUGCUUAAGUUUGCAAAUGCUCUUUUAACACAUUCUCCAUAUGCAGCCUGCCCAGCACUGCACACAAUAGACCUGUUACUUCCCCCUCACGAGCACUCCUAAUAUUUCAUGUGCUCAUCCAAUUGACUUCUCCCACUGGUGCCUCAUAUUGAAUUUGUAGAAUCACACCUGCUCCUUUUUCAAAACUCUUCUGAGUUUUUUCUUAAAUAAUUCACUGACCCCAAAGUUGUCAGAUAUUUGAAGACUACUCGCACAAUUUUAAUAUUAUAAAUGUAUAAUGUAAAUGUAAUUAAGAUUUGUAUAAUGUACGAUGUACUUUGGUAAAUAAAAGUAUGCUGUGAAUAAAUACGUAUGAUACAAUUCAAAAUUUUACAUAAAUAUGUGAUAAAAUUUAGCUCAUAUUCUUUUUUUUUUUCUUUGAGACGGAGUCUCACUCUGUUGCACCCAGGCUAGAGUGCAGCAGCAUGAUCUCAGCUCACUGCAACCUCUACCUCCUGGGUUCAAACAAUUCUCCUGCCUCAGCCUCCUGAGUAGCUGGGAUUACAGGUGCCCGCCACCAUGCCCAGCUAAUUUUUUUCUAUUUUUGUUGUUGUUGUUGUUUUUAGUAGAGACGGGGUUUCACCAUGUUGGUCAGGCUGGUCUUGAACUCCUGACCUCAGAUAAUCCACCUGCCUCGGCCUCCCAAAGUUCUGGGAUUACAGACGUGAACCACGGUGCCCGGCCUAGUUCAUGUUCUUUAAGGACAAUUAUGAAUAUUUUUAUGCACUGUUAAUUUUCAUUAAGAUAUUGAUCAAUUAAUAGCUAUAUAUGUUCUAUAAAUUAAUCCUAUCUAGUUUCAAUCUUAAAUUGUUUGCAUAUACCAAUCUAGUUUAUUGUUUGCAUAUAUUUUAUAGUGUAGAGAUUAGGCAUUUUAAUAAAAUUUUAAAAUUUCCAGGACAUACUGUUAAUGACUAUGCUUCCUACUAUAGGCCAUAAUUAAUUUUUUUCUAUUGUCAACAAUAUUUUGGUAGGGAUGAUCAGGAAAUAAGGAAAUGUUUCCUUCAUUUGUUAACAAUAGGUGUUUGGGGAUUUUAAAAUGAAAAUUGAAGAAGUAAAAGACACCAUAUAUUUAGUUUGUUUGAUUUCGUGGCUUCAAGAGUUCAAUAAUUUAUUGAAAUAUUUUACAGACCAAAGAACAACAGAUAUAUUACGUUUAUAAGCCCCCACAUAUUUUAAAGGAUAAUGGUUUAUAUAUGAAAAUUCCCUGAACCUACACUUCAUC
Long non-coding RNA from Homo sapiens (human), 4687 nucleotides. Ensembl annotates it as MAGI2 antisense RNA 3. Its record names the gene MAGI2-AS3. The record is from Ensembl. NCBI's taxonomy places the organism in Eukaryota, Metazoa, Chordata, Mammalia, Primates, Hominidae.